Molecule: long non-coding RNA, 1145 nt
Filed under: Homo sapiens (human)
Lineage: Eukaryota; Metazoa; Chordata; Mammalia; Primates; Hominidae
Description: HSALNT0305575
Source: RNAcentral
CCCACACUCAGGGUGAGAGGGAGAUUCUGAAGCUUUGUGUUUCUUGCUAGCUAGUCAAAGGUGACUAAUUCAUGUGGAUAGAAAAAUAAUACAUGCCAAAAGAAAUUUGAGGAACAAAUUCAGCCCUGAGACAGGUCACGGAAACAGCCCUCCAGUCUUCCUCAAGAAAUGUAGACUGAAUCAGCAUUUACCCACCCCUGGAAAAACGCAGGAGCUGCGCAUUCCUGGGAUCUCAGCAGGGCUUUUGGGAAGAGCAGAACUGGGCUGGAGUCACGGUUUCUGGGCUGACUCUAGAUUUUCCCCGGCUUUUGCCACCUGUGAUGGCUGGAGAGUAUCUGAAGAUGACAGCCAGUGUCCUUAGCUUGUGAAGAUUGGAUGAUGGCCGGGGCCCUCAGACCCCUUGGCCCCUCCUUAACUGCAGGUCUUCAAAAGCCCAACACCUGUUCGUCAUUUCUGUGGCUUCCCAGGGAGUCUUACUCUUCUGCUUCAAGCUGCUGGGUUUGACUCUGAGCAGUUUCUGUGCAGCCACAAAGAUUCUUAUGUGAGACACACUGCUGCUUCAGAGUGCUCCAACCCAUCUCCCCUGAUUAAACACUAACCAGGGCUGCCACAGCAAAGUGGCUCAAAUGGGUGACGUCAACAACAGAUUUACUUUCUCAUAGUUCUGGAGGCAGGUGUCUAGGAUCAAGGUGGUGGCAAGGCUAUUCCUUCUGUUGCCUCCCUCCUUGCCUUGUGGAUGACCGUCUUCUCCGCGUCUUUCCAAGAUCUCUCCUCUGUGCAUGUCAGUGUCCUUGCUUCCUCUUCUUAUGAAGACACCGGUCAUGUUGGAAUGCAACAGAAGAGAGUGCACGGCUUCUGAGGUUGCAGCUUUUGGGAGAAGCCAUCUACCAUUGAUGACAGACAUGCCGUGUGGAAACCAAACCAGCCAUGUGGAGAGGCUACCUGGACAGAGGCACAGGGCCAGCAGCAGCUGUGGAGACAGACAUGUGAGCAAAGAAAUCAUCUUUGAUGUACAGCCAAGUUGAGCCUUCAGAUGACUCCGAUUUCAGCCACCUUUGGACUGCAACCACAUGAAAGACUCUAAAUAGAAGCCUCCCAGCUGAUCCCGGUUAACCCACAGUGCUGAAGGGGAUAAUAAUAAAUUG